RNAcentral lists this ribosomal RNA (908 nucleotides) under uncultured bacterium. RNAcentral describes it as "bacterial SSU rRNA". It matches the Rfam family "Bacterial small subunit ribosomal RNA", at positions 520 to 1428 of the family's 1533-position model. The record is from RNAcentral.
GUAAGACGUAGGGAGCAAGCGUGUCCGGAUUUACUGGGCGUAAAGAGCGCGUAGGCGGUCUGUUAAGUGAGAAGUGAAAUCUCAGGGCUCAACCCGGAAACUGCUUUUCAUACUGGCAGACUUGAGUGAUGCAGAGGUAUGUGGAAUUCCCGGUGUAGCGGUGAAAUGCAUUGAUAUCGGGAGGAACACCCAUGGCGAAGGCAGCAUACUGGGCAUCAACUGACGCUGAGGCGCGAAAGCGUGGGUAGCAAACAGGAUUAGAUACCCUGGUAGUCCACGCCCUAAACGAUGGAUACUAGGCGUAAGAGGUAUCGACCCCUCUUGUGCCGCAGCUAACGCAUUAAGUAUCCCGCCUGGGGAGUACGGCCGCAAGGUUGAAACUCAAAUGAAUUGACGGGGACCCGUACAAGCGGUGGAGCAUGUGGAUUAAUUCGAUACUAACCGAAGAACCUUACCCAGACUUGACAUCGAUUGAAAACCCAGGAAACUGGGUCCUCCCCACAAGGGACAUGAAGACACUUGUUGCAUGGCUGUCGUCAGCUCGUGCCGUGAGGUGUACGGUUAAGUCCGCCAACGAGCGCAACCCUCGUCCUGUGUUACCAGCAUGAAAGAUGGGGACUCACAGGAGACCGCCGGUGUAAGCCGGAGGAAGGUGAGGAUGACGUCAAGUCAGCAUGGCAGUUACGUCUGGGGCUUCACACAUGCUACAAUGGGCGCAACAAAGGGCAGCGAUACCGCGAGGUGGAGCCAAUCCCAAAAAUACGCCCCAGUUCAGAUUGCAGUCUGCAACUCGACUGCAUGAAGGCGGAAUCGCUAGUAAACGCAGGUCAGCUAUACUGCGUUGAAUACGUUCCCGGGUCUUGUACACACCGCCCGUCAAGUCACCUGAAUUGUCUUCACCCGAAGUC